This 700-nucleotide ribosomal RNA is filed under the name Streptomyces sp. KLBMP S0053. Its description in RNAcentral is "bacterial SSU rRNA". It matches the Rfam family "Bacterial small subunit ribosomal RNA", at positions 89 to 803 of the family's 1533-position model. The record is from RNAcentral. Lineage: Bacteria; Bacillati; Actinomycetota; Actinomycetes; Kitasatosporales; Streptomycetaceae.
GGAUUAGUGGCGAACGGGUGAGUAACACGUGGGCAAUCUGCCCUGCACUCUGGGACAAGCCCUGGAAACGGGGUCUAAUACCGGAUACGACCACUGAGGGCAUCCUCGGUGGUGGAAAGCUCCGGCGGUGCAGGAUGAGCCCGCGGCCUAUCAGCUUGUUGGUGGGGUGAUGGCCUACCAAGGCGACGACGGGUAGCCGGCCUGAGAGGGCGACCGGCCACACUGGGACUGAGACACGGCCCAGACUCCUACGGGAGGCAGCAGUGGGGAAUAUUGCACAAUGGGCGAAAGCCUGAUGCAGCGACGCCGCGUGAGGGAUGACGGCCUUCGGGUUGUAAACCUCUUUCAGCAGGGAAGAAGCGAAAGUGACGGUACCUGCAGAAGAAGCGCCGGCUAACUACGUGCCAGCAGCCGCGGUAAUACGUAGGGCGCGAGCGUUGUCCGGAAUUAUUGGGCGUAAAGAGCUCGUAGGCGGCUUGUCACGUCGGUUGUGAAAGCCCGGGGCUUAACCCCGGGUCUGCAGUCGAUACGGGCAGGCUAGAGUUCGGUAGGGGAGAUCGGAAUUCCUGGUGUAGCGGUGAAAUGCGCAGAUAUCAGGAGGAACACCGGUGGCGAAGGCGGAUCUCUGGGCCGAUACUGACGCUGAGGAGCGAAAGCGUGGGGAGCGAACAGGAUUAGAUACCCUGGUAGUCCACGCCGU